This 43394-nucleotide long non-coding RNA is filed under the name Nicotiana tabacum (common tobacco). Its description in RNAcentral is "long non-coding RNA (NTAB_LNC008089)". Lineage: Eukaryota; Viridiplantae; Streptophyta; Magnoliopsida; Solanales; Solanaceae. The record is from RNAcentral.
GAGAUUUUUAACUGCAACAACUUAAAUAUACGCUAUUGGAGCUGGAAUUACCGCGGCUGCUGGCACCAGACUUGCCCUCUAAUGGAUCCUCGUUAAGGGAUUUAGAUUGUACUCAUUCCAAUUAUCAGACCCAUAGAGCCCGGUAUUGUUAUUUAUUGUCACUACCUCCCCGUGCUAGUAUUUGAUAAUUUGCGUGCCUGCUGCCUUCCUUGGAUGUGGUAGUCGUUUCUCAGGCUCUCUCUCCAGAAUCGAACCCUAAUUCUCUGUCACCCGUCACCAUCAUGGUAGGCCACUAUCCUACCAUCGAAUGUUGAUAGGGCAAAAAUUUGAAUGAUGCGUCACCGGCACGAUGGCCGUGCGAUCCAUCAAGUUAUCAUGAAUCAUCGCAGCAACAAGCAGAGCUCGCGUCGAACUUUGAUCUAAUAAAUGCAUCCCUUCCAGAAGUCGGGGUUUGUUGCACGUAUUAGCUCUAGAAUUACUACGGUUAUCAGAGUAGUAGAUACCAUCAAACAAACUAUAACUAAUUUAAUGAGCCAUUCGCAGUUUCACAAUCUAAAUUUGUUCAUACUUACACAUGCAUGGAUUAAUCUUUGUGACAAGCAUAUGACUACUGGCAGGAUCAACUAGGUAGAAUUCCUCAUUGACGUCGUUGUCGCAUGAGCAUGGCCGACCCAAAGGGCACGACCAAGUCUAAGACGAGCACGACCAUCAUUCGUAAGGAGCAUUCUUUGUGUAGAUAUGAGCCAAUGAAGACCCUAUGCCCAUUACGUUUACCGAAUCCGAGAGUCCGAGCAUACUUGUUGUGGACCAAGCCAUCGCAAGGCAACCGAUUGUGCUUGAUAAUCCCUUGGCAUUAGGUAUGCAACACAGAAAACCGACGCCGAACAAGCCUAAUUUGCGCUUGUGCCAUGACUGAGAUGGCAUGCAUUCUAGGAUGCCUCUGCUCAAGCAGGGAUUCAACCGAGCCACACAAGACGAACACUACUCAUGUGCCGCACGUACACUUGCCUCGCUGGUACAAGCCAACAACAAUGCCAACAUGCGACGCGUCGCCAUGUAUUGUUGCCAAUGACAACAUUGCAAAGCCAAGACAAGCCCCGCAAAGCACGAACAGGGGGUUGGAGCAAUGUCAAACACAACCCAUAACAACUGAUGGCAAUCGACAAUGUACUGAGCUUUGGCCCAUGCGCAUGGCACCUUGCAGUGCUACUUGCACGAUGCUUCGCCAUUCCGUUGCAAAAAGCCAUUAGCCGCUGCGAGAAAUGUCGCCUACUAAUGUUGCCCGCAACACCCGAUGGAAAUCAACAUGUACUGAGCUUAGCCCUAUGCGCACGGAACUUUGCGACGCUACUUGCUUGAUGCUCUGCCAUUGGUUUCCAAAAGCCAUCAGCUGCCACGAGCGAUGCCAGACAAAACCCACAACAACCGAUGGCAAUCAACAACUUACUAAGCUUCGCCCAAUGCACAUGGAACUUUGCGGCACUACUUGCAUGACGCUUUGCCAUUCCAUUGCCAAAAGCUAUCGGCCGCCAUGAGCGAUGUUGCUUCCCGAUGUUGUCCGCAAUAACCGAUGGCAAUCGACAUGUACUAAGCUUCACCCCAUGUGCACAGCACCUUGCGGCACUACUUGCAGGACGCUCCGCCGUUCGUUGCCAAAAUCCAUCAGCUGCCACGAGCAAUGCCAGACACAACCCACAACAACCGAUGGUAAUCGACAACUUACUAAAUUUCGCCCAUGCGCACGGCACCAUGUGGUGCUACUUGCACGACACUUUGCCGUUCCAUUGCUAAAAGCCAUCAGCUGCCACGAGCGAUGUCUUCUCCCAAUGUUGCCCACAAUAACCGAUGGCAAUCGACAUGUACUGAGCUUCUCCGCAUAUGUACGACACCUUGCGACACUACUACCAUGACGCUCCACCAUUCAUUACCAAAACCAUAAGAUGCAACAAGCUGUGCAAAACAACACCCACAAUAAUCGAUGGCAAUCAGCAAUUUACUGAGCUUUGCCCCAUGCACAUGGCACCUUGUAGCACUACUUGCACGACGCUCCGCCGUUCGUUACAAAAAGUCAUCAGCUGCCACGAGGGGGUGCCAGACACAACCCACAAUAGCCGAUGGCAAUCGACAAUUUACUGAGCUUCGCCCCAUGCGCAUGGAACCUUGCGAUGCUACUUGCAUGUCGCUUUGCCGUUCCAUUACCAAAAGCCAUCAGCCGCCACGAGCGAUGUCGCUUCAUGAUGUUGCCCGCAACACCCGAUGAUAAUCGACAUGUACUGAGCUAUGCCCAAUGUGUAUGGCACUUUGCGAGGCUACUUGCAUGACGCUCCGUUGUUCGUUUCCUAAUGCCAUCAGCUACCAUGAUUGGUGCCAAACACAACCCAUAACAACUGAUGGCAAUUGACAACUUACUAAGCUUCGCCCCAUGUGCAUGGCACCUUGCCAAGCUACUUGCACGACGCUCCCCCAUUCCGUUUCCAAAAGCCAUCAACUUCCACAAGCGAUGUCGCCUCCCGAUUUUGCCCAUAACAUCCAAUGACAAUCAACAUGUACUGAGCUUAGCCCCAUGCGCACGGCACCUUGUGGUGCUACUUGCGCAAAGUACCGCCGUUCCUUGCCAAAAGCCAAUGUUUGCCACGAGCAGUGUCGCCACCAGACGUACUACGAGCUUAAGAGUAGACAUGUUUUGGCUAGAGAAUCAUAAUAGACAUGUACAACACCAAAUAGAACAAACUAAAGUACAACUUAGCUAAUAUAUUCACAAAUAACUUUUAAACAUUGUAAAUGAUAUUUUAACAAAAAAUAAUAUUUUUAUUAUAAAACGAAAAACACUUAAUAAAAUACUAAAAAUAUGAAAAUUAUAAUAAAUAUAGAAAAAACAAUGGAGAAAAAUUCCAAUACAUCUUUUAAUAAUAUAACACAUAAAAAAGUAAAUAUUUUUAUAAAACAUAAAAUAAAAACUAUUUAAAAUUACAAAAAAUGCAUAAAAAUCAAUAUAAAAUAGGUAUAAUACAUAAUAUUAAUAUAAAAACAUAUAGAUGACCAACCACCAAUAAAAAUGAGCCACCUCCAUUGUCGCAACCACAACAAGAGAUUCCGAUUUGAAACCACCACCGCCAACCACCAAGCAUCGACCAACCGUCGUCGGUCGCUACCGCUCGAACCAUCACAACUUUCCACCACCGCCACCAACGACCACCAACAUCAUUGCGCUUGAAGUGUUGCUAAGCAUUGGCUAGCACUAGACGUGGUGCAACGUGGAGCGACGUGGUGCGGCUUGGUGCAACGUGGAGCGACGUGGUGCGGCUUGGUGCGACGUCGUGCCAUGGCCACAUCCUGCCAUAUCCUGCGACGUCCUGACACAUCAUGCGUCAUGCCAUGGCCACGCCCUGUCAUGUACUGCGACGUCCUGACUCGUGCCAUGGCGUCGUCCUACCAUGUACUGCGACGUCCUGCCCGUGCCAUGGCCAUGCCCUGCCAUGUCCUGCGACGUCCUGACACGUGCCAUGUCCUAUGACGUCCUGACUCAUGCCAUGGCCACGCCUUGCCAUGUCCUGCGACGUCCUAACACGUCCUAACCCGUGCCAGGGCUAUGUCCUGUGGCGUCUUGACACGUCCUGACCCGUGCCAUGGCCACACCCUUCCUUGUCCUGCGACGUCUUGACACAUCCUGACACGUGCCAUGGCUAUGCCCUGCCAUGUCCUGACACGUCCUGACAUGUCCUAACACGUCCUAACACGUGCUAUGGCCAUGUCCUGCCAUGUCCUACGACAUCUUGACCCGUGCCAUGGCCAUGUCCUGCGAUGUCCUGACAAGUCCUGACACGUGCCAUGGCCAUGUCCUGCAAAGUCAUGGCAUGUUCUGACACGUUCCAUGGACAUUUCCUGCGAAGUCCUGACAUGUCCUGACCCGUGUUGUGGACAUGUCAUGCAAUGUCCUGACACGUCCUGACAAGUGCCAUGGCCAUAUCCUGUGACGUCCUGACACGUGCCAUGGCCACAACCUGCCAUGUCCUUCAACAUAUUGACACGUCUUAACACGUGCCAUGGCCAUGCCCUACCAUGUCCUCCGACGUCCUAACACGUCCUGACCCGUGCCAUGGCCACGCCCUACCAUGUCCUACGAUGUCCUAACACGUCCUGACCCUUUCCAUGGCCAUGUCCUGUGAUGUCCUGACAUGUCCUGACCCGUGCCAUGACCACGCCCUGCCAUGUCCUGUGACGUCCUGACACGUCCUGACACAUGCCAUGGCCAUGCCAUGCCAUGUCCUGACACGUCUUGACACGUGCCUUGGCCAUGUCUUUCCAUGUCCUGACACGUCCUGACCCUUCCCAUGGCCAUGUCCUGUGACGUCCUGACAUGUGUCGUGGCCAUGUCCUAUGAAGUCCUGACACGUCCUGACACGUGCCAUGGCCAAUACCUGCAAUGUCCUUACAUGUCCUGAUCCGUGGCAUGGCCAUGUCCUGCAACAUCCUGACACGUUCCAUGGCCAUGUCCUGCGACGUCUUGACACGUCCUGACACGUACCUUGGCCAUACCCUGCCAUGUCCUACGACGUCCUAACACGUGUCAUGGCCAUGCACUGCCUUGUCCUACGGCGUCGUGACACGUCCUGACACAUGCCAUGACCAUGUCCUGUGAUGUCCUGACACGUACUGACACGUGACAUAGCCACGCCCUGUCAUGUCCUGCGACGUCCUAACAUGUCCUGACCCGUGCCAUGGCCAUGUCCUGCGACAUCCUGACCCAUGGACAAGGUUUUGAGGACUUGUUCGAUUUUCCAACACUUAGUAUAAUAUAGCAUCAAGGGAGGAGUUAACCACUUUUCGGAAAAGUUAGAAAUUAAUUGGAUUGGAGGGGGAGGGACGAAUCAGAGCGACAAAGGUCUGAAUCUCAGUGGAUCGUGGCAGCAAGGCUACUCUGCCACUUACAAUACCCUGUCGCGUAUUUAAGUUGUCUGCAAAGGAUUCUACCCGCCUCUCGAUUGAAAUUGUACUUCAAGGCGGCUACCACGGCUCUUCCUCCACGAUGACUUAGCAAACGCAUGUGCCCUUGAGGGCCAAAGGCCCCUACUUUGGGUCGGCAAGCGGAUGGCGGGCACAUGCAUCAAAUGUAGCCCAAAUUCUGACUUAGAGGCAUUCAGUCAUAAUCCAGCGCAUGGUAGCUUCGCACCACUGGCUUAUCAACCAAGCGUAAUGACCAAUUGUGCAAAAAUGUCUUCAUUCUGAACGGAUCUAAUCUCUAAAAAGUACUAAUUUGUCCAUGCUCUCCCUCAUAGAUGCUCUAUAAUCACCUAGUUAAAGUCUUGCUUGACUGAAAGCACUCUCCAAUAUCACUAUUUAAGGUUGAAUGGUUAAAAUAUCUUGGGCCAUCCUUGAAAGGAUCGAAAAGUGUUUUUCUUUGUCAUUACACCAUUCCAAAAGAUUAAAUGAUCCGUCGGAAUUCACUUCCUCAAGUCCCUGUGACAAAUAAACUUCAAGCUCAUUUAGCUGUGACUAAUCACUAGUGGUACAACCUUGAGAACUCCUGGACUUGAUCCAAGCAGUAAGUGCUCUUACUCCUACAGUUCUUUUAGAUGAUUGAGAACUAGAAGAAGAAGGAGUUGACAUAUCUGGUCUAGUAUUAUCUAGUGCAAUUUGAUAAGCACUAUAAAUAUCUAGAGCAUUUAUUUGAAUUGAGGCUUGUGCAUCCGAAAGUGUAGACAACUCCUUAGGUUCAAGUGUGUUUACCGUGAAAAUGGUAAUAACAAUUAAAUUUGUAAAUGGGACUCUAAAAAUACGUGAUCUAUUUUUAUGCUAGUUGUUUAGAGCAGUUGAUGCUAGGAAUAUGAAGUUUAACGAUGAAAUACAAGUUAAAAUGGGGCAGUGAUCGAACUGAGGGGCUUGCUUCCCGGGCUUCGGACUGAUCGAUGAAAGGUCUCGAGGUCGAUAACCGGCUCGAGCUCGAGCUAUCGGAGGUAACCGAGAAGGGCACAAUAGUUAAGAUAUAAUUAAAGGAGGAUAUUUAUGGCCAAUAUCAAGAAAUGAAUGAAGAACAAGUAUGAAAGCAAUAAAUGUAAAGAGUAGCCUCGAGCGAGUAAGUUAGAGAGAAAAGAGAGAGAGAGAGAGAGAUUAUUAAUCUUGUGUAGAAUGGUUGGAGCAACAGCCGCCCUUUACAAAGUGAUGAGGAUCCUCUUUAUAUAGGAGGGGGAGUACAACAUAGUACAUAAUGCAUUAAGUGUAAAGAACCGGAGAUGGGACGACUAGACAUGAUAUCAGACUCUACUGAUGCCAUUUGCUUGCCUCGGGGAUUCCCCACCCUCGGGGUCAUUACUGGGUCGAACGUGAAUGAACUUCGAGGGGAGAACUUGGCCGCAAUCCCGCAGCCUCAAGAUAUCGAUAUGACUCCCCAAAUACACCUUAAUGGCGAGAAAUCGGACCUUCCAGUUUCACCGUAUGCAGAUAGUCUCCGCGUUUCCUAGAAUGAAGUAAUAGGAAACAAUUUUGAACCAUCGUCUCGAGGUCCUAAUUGCAGUGACAUCAACCGAUAAGAGCAUUAAAUGCCAUAUUCCAUAAAACCAUGCAAAGGUCACCGCCAAAUGCGAUAAUCAAGGAACCCAUGAACUGCCAUUGGCUCGUCUUUUCCGCUGCCCAGGCGGUUCCUACAAAUGCAUCAACUGUUUGAUACUUCUUAUUUUCACCCCAUCUCCAAAUUCACAAGUCAAAACCCUUUGUCUCUUCCAUUCUUCCAUAUCGUUUUUAGAGAAAUUUUCGCCAUUGACAUUGCUAGGACUUCUCAAAUAGAUCCCCUACGGAACAACGCUACAUCAUCAUCUCGAUCAUCUAAGGAGGAAACCAGAGCGAUUCCUUCUUUGGAACAGUGUACCCCAGCUAAUAUCGAUCUAUCAAAGGACUUUAACAUCGAUGCCACUUCAUCUAUACUGGGCCGGUGUGAGUAUGUGUCCGAAUAUGUUAGCGUCGUGACCAAUAUUAGCAUAGUGAGGACGGACUACCGAUGGAGAGAGGUAGUGGGGGUGGAGAUUCCCGCUCCCAAUAAAAAUAUAACGGAUCAUAAGGCCAUCUUUCUUUACGUGUACACCUACCCAUUCACCUUGGGUCCCGAUAAUUCUUCCGAGUCUCUCCCCCAGAGAUAGACCCGGUUAUCCUUGACUUGUGCGACCCAUACCAAGUGACGUUUGGUCAGAUAUACCCUUCUUUUUAGAGGAUAGUGUUGAUGCUUUGCCAUUUCAUCGAAGGGGUUGAGGGUGAGAUCUUUACUCUCAAUCAUCUUAUCAGGAUGUAUAACCCUCGAUUUUAUCGAGGUUUAAUCACGCUUUGUCAUCAGUCCAAAAAAUCAUUUUUCUCGAGCGUCGACGAGGGAAAGGAUCGAGGAUGGAUGAGCAAGUUUAUCUGGGUAAAGACCUCGGAUAUCAUCCCGACCCAGAGGAUGCCCUUUUUGGAGAGGUGGAAUACCCAACGUAAGCAAUUUUCCCUUAACCGCUUUUCAACUACUCUUCUUUUUGAAAUAAUGAUCUCAUUGUGCUUCUUGCAGCUGCUGCUUGGUAACCCGAGGCGGUUCCAGAUUUAUUGGGAUGGAUCAAGCAGCUGGACGAGAAGUUCCCAUAUUUUGUUCGGUCUUGGACCGACCUGGCCAAGGGGCGAUGUGUGGCCAAGAAUCACAGUAGAUUUUCCUUACCACCUAUGUCUUAUGUUUGUGUUUCCCCCUGCGCCCUUGGUGGUGACAUCCUGUGGUUACCGCACUUGUGCAGGUCUUGGCGAGAUUAUGUUGAUGAGGCUACCUCAUAGUGGUGAAGUAAGGGCUUUGGAGCCUGAUACGAGCAAGAAGAGGAAAAGCAAGGUAGUUGUUGUCCUUCCUGCGACAAAGUAAUCCAGGCCACUCAAGCAUCGAGCCGCUGCUGGAACUUCUACUUCAACUUCAGAGGUGAAUCCUGACAAUAAGGAAGAGGAUGAAGACGAAUGUCAGCUAGAGCAUAGAACAAGGUUAGAUGUGAAAGCCUCACAGGUGCCUCGGUCGGAGGCUACUGAGUCCGGAAUGGCUGACUCUGGUUGGUCUCGUGAACUAGAGGACCUUAAAGAGGGUGUAAAUGCAGCUUCAAAUUGCGCAACUGAAUUCGAUGCAGUUUCCACUGGGGGGACCGAUGCCAUUGAUCCUGAAAGGCCGAGGCCUGGAGCCCUUCAGGACCAUGGGUUUCCUUUUGGAGAAGUCAGCGACCUGAAGGACUUCUUCUCAUGGUUCCAGGUCUCGUCAGGGGAACUACGGGAUGCCCAAGAAGUGGUCAGCGACAAAGAGGGGAUUCCUCUCCAAGGGGGACACUCUAUUGCCAACAUCUUUGAUGGUGUUAGUGAUAGUGCCGAUCUUGAUGUUCCUAGCACCGUCAAAGCGGCGGAGAAGUUCAUGCAGUAGGUGACAACCAUUUCCCGUGUAUUUCUUUUAUCAUCGGAUGCUAUCCCUUGUCUUUCUAACUUAUCCACUAUGCCGCAGUGCAAGGAGACAUAUGAUCAUGCCAUCCUUCGACUUCGUGAGAAGCUUUCUUAUCAUGAAAAGGAGUGCAAGAAAGCUACCUCGAUACUGCGGGAUUCGGAGGCUCGCUCUGCCCAGGGAGGGAAAGAACUAGGAGAGCUCCGAGCUAUUUUGGAAACGGCGCUUCAGGAAAAGGCUGACCUUACUGCACAGGUUUUUUGCCUUGCUUGUACCCGACUUCCGUUCCCGUGUUCCGACAUAAAUUGGUUCACCUUUCUUUUGUAGGUCGAGCAGAAUGGUUAACAGAUUGACCAACUGAAUACAGAGAUCUCUGGGCUAAGGGAGCGAAAUGAAGUAGUGGCCGGUGAGUUGGCGUCAUCUCGGGAUCUUCUCAAGGAUGCUCGCAAGGAGGUUGCUACUUUGGUUGCGGCUAAGUCCGAGGUUGAAUGAAACACUGCCACUUAUCUGGAGGAUGCACCUAUGGUGCAUAGAAUAGCUCGCGAUAUAUCAAUAGCAUCUGAACAGAAAUUAACCUAAGUUAUUAAGCACGCUAAGGCGAAGAGAGAGACCUUGGAGAAAAUCGGAGCUAGAGGUAUCGACCUAUUAGCUGAUCUCAAGGAAGCCCGCGAAUUGGAGGAAGAACUGGCGGUUUUAGUUUCCCUUGAUGAGGGCAAAGAUAAUAACGAUUGGGAAUAGUCUCCGAGUCGUUUUGUAUCCCUUCCUUUUCCCUUUAUAUGCAGCCCCCGGGGGAUGGGUUAUGUAAAGAUGUUUUUUUUGAAUACAUUUUUUGGCAAUGUAAAAAAGGGGUUUUCCUCCUGUCAGUUUUUUUCAGUCUCUUCUUUCUUUGCCACUUUGCUUUCGUGAUUUAGCUUUUAACUCCUGAUGUUGGCCUUUCAGAACCUGUUCUCGGAGCAUCCAGGAUCUUGAAAUUGGCUAUGCCCCAGGGUUAAAUCGACAGUUUCUCUCAGACCGAUUCUCGUGACAUCAGGGAUCUCCCUAAGGCCUCGUAGUUUUUUGAGUUCCACGAGGUAACAAUAUUUGUAUGAUCUAAUAAAAAGGGGGCCAUGGAUGAUUUCGCUAGUACGUUUCCCUAGGAAAGGGUGACGUUAGUGUGACCAUAAUUAAUUAGCCCUCUGGGUAGGCGGGCAGUUGUUGCUUUGCCCCUAUAUAUUCAUUCACCCAUCUUUCCAACGGUGAAUUUGUUUCUUUGAAAGGCUAUCUCUUCCGCAUAGCCUGGCCCUUUGUGCUAGUCCUUCCACUCCCCUAAGAAAGAAUUUUUUAGCUAAGACCCUCAUUUUUCCCUUCCUAUUUUACCGUAUCCAUGACUGCUAUGUCGAUGUCUGAUCUUUGGGUAGAGGGGAGCUCCUCCUGUGUUCUGCAUUCGAUUGGAACCAGUGGCUCGCCUCCGACAUCAAGUGAGCGAGGCUCAAGAUGCCCUGCCUCGGGGAGAGAUGUCAUGCCGGGGAAACCUCCUAAUGUUCUAGGCCACCGGGAGCAUGUGUCGAGGAUCAUUUCAUCAGUGGGGGAGGAAAACCUCAAGAUGAUCAGAAACGAUUGUGUAUGGGGAAAAGGUGUGAUAUUACAAGUACAUUUUCCCGAGGAAAGCGUUAUGACAUAUGUUGAGAGAUAUUUGAGCGUAUACACACAAGUUUUCGCGCUGGGUUCCCCCGACUGGGUCGUGCUCAAUUUUUGUCGGAGAUAUCAUGUUACACUAGCGCAGGCUCAUCCCUCCCUUUGGAAAAUAGUGCACGCAAUGAGAUAUUUUGCCGAUAAGGCCAGGAGAGAGUUUACCCUCAGCCAUCUCAUGGGGUUGUAUCUUCCACUGCGUUACCGGGGCCUGAUUGCUCUUCAACAUCAAUCCACCUGAGCUCCUGUGGUCGGCAGCGAGGAGGACGAGGACCGGGAAUGGAUGAAUCAUGUUUGUUCGGAUUCGAACUACCGAUGUCAUUCCUAUAGAAUAUUUGCUAUUUCUUGAGAAAUGGAACUUCACACAUAAGUGCCUCAUAUGAACUAUCAUCAUUUUGACCGGAGGCAGGCUCCGUAAAAAUAUCCUUUUGUUCCUUAUUUGCAAUAACUCAUUGGUCACCGAGCGAGGUCCUUGAUUUAGCCGAGUGGUCCCGUAAGCUAGCAUCUUGCUCGAUUUAUGAUAGGCGCCGGUAGCGAGACCUGUUCAAAGGGAGAUGGGAGGCGAAGCAUCGUGGUAGGUGCCCAGCACUCUGUCUCCUAAAAAAUGGUGCUUUUCUUGCGGUCUUAUUUGUUUCAACUGUCGCAGGUGUCGUGGGUUCUUUAGAAAUGAGGCCUUGUCCUCCGGGGGAUGAGGAGAGAUUGUUGGCCUAGGGAUCGAGGAGUGUUGACAAAAGAAAAGAUGCUCUGGGGUGCGAGAAGGCUUGCAGUGAGUUGACUCCCUCUCGGUGGUUAAGGAGAAGCGAUUCGGUCAACCAGCCACCUUCUGGAAGUGGUACGCCAUCGGACGUUGCUUCGGCCUUUGGCAGGCUUAAAUUCGAGCUACUUCGUAGUAAGGCCCCGUUGCGGAAGGCUUUGGAUAGGGAUAAAUCCCUCAAGCUUCUUUGUGCGGCAAAGGAAAGCGAGCUGGUUUCCUUACGGCGUGAGGUGGACUGGAGCUGGAGCUGUGAGAUCCGCCUGGAGAAAAAGGUACCAUGUACUUCAUGUUGGCUUGCACUCCCUUUCUAUCUUGGCGUCCUGAUGUUUUGAUGUUUCAGUUGGAGGACAAGGCGGAUGAGCUGGGACAACUCUAGGCGAGGUUGGCCGAGCCAAACAUGAAUUCAAUGAGCUGCAGACGCAUGUAAGUGCCCAUUUUAUGGUCAAAGAGAGGGCUCAUGCCAAGGUUUCUGCUCUUGAGGCGCAAAUCCAGACCCUUCGUGCGAACGAUUCUGCUUGGGCAAACAUGAUUGCAAGGCUUUCAUCCGAGCUUUCGAAGGCGAAGACCGAGGUGGUGAAUGUUCGGGUCGAGGUUGUGAUGAGUAAUACCAGGGCAGGACAGAAAGUGGCAGCCUAUUCAAAGAGUGCUGCCGCUGUUAAAGUUGAGCUGAAGAGAGACCUUGAUCAUGCAAGCAAUAGCAAGGAGUAUGCGAGGUGCAUGUCCCAGAGGGAAGUCCUCAAAGAGAUUCAUGCCAGGAGCUUCGAUCUCUCUGGGGAGAUAGAUCAAGCCAAAGGGGAGGAGUAUGAUGCCAAGUUCCUUUUAUCUGAUGCUGAAGACGGUAAAGAGGGAGUUGCCAGGCCAUAGUUGUCGAAGGGGGGAACAUUUAUUCCCUGCCUCCUUCUUGUGUACAUAGCUUUCAUAAUAUGUUGUAGAUUGAGCUUGCGUUUCACCGCCUGUAUGUAAAAAUAAGAGGGGGAACCCCACAAUUUGUAUCUUCUGUAUUUCUGUUCGUCAAGAUCUCAAUCGGGUCGAUUCGAGCUUCGGAUUAGUAGAAAUCUCCGAACCUGUAAUAUGGUCCUGAUGUUCGUUAGGCCGGUGAUUGCUGCCAACUUGACGCUACACUAAGGUAGGAAGAGCGGGUCGCAAUAGCUUUUACCCGAUAUAAUGGUUGAGAUCAAUUUCCUCAGGGAGCUAGUAGUGGAGUUGGAUUGUCUGUCUAUCCUAGAGAUGUGUUUGUACUCCUAAUUUCACUUUAAACAUUUUUGGGCUUUCAAAUUAUCACUAUUUUUGUAAAACUAUUGAUUUAUUCUACGAGAAUGUUGCUAAGUUGUAUCUAAUGGGAAGUCGGGCACUAGGGUCGUGACACUACCUAGGUGUCUAAUUGACGGGUAGAUGUUACUAAGGUUCUAUUGACAUAAAUGGGGCUUAUGCUAUAACCAUUGCAUAAUUUUACCCACUCUCAUACCUCUCGGUAGAGAAAGUGACUUUGCCCAAUUGACUCUCUCGAGACCAAAUGGGUAGGCAAAUUAAACCAAGCAACUAGGGUUCAAGUACGGUAAUUACUCUCUCGAGGUUUAACCCGUUAAUUGGGACUAUCAUUUCUCAUGAGUCCAUCCCAAUUCCUUGUUGGGUCAAUUUUGGGGUUGUAGACUCUCUUUCUCAAGAAGAGUUAAACCCACAAAGCUUAAAUCAAUAUUUGCAACCACCAAUUCUAGAUUAAAACAUAAAAUCAACCCAAAUAGCAAACAUCCAUAGUCAAUAUAACACUAGAUGGCAACACCCAUCAGUCACCCACACUAGGAUUGAGCCACAACCCUAGCUAAUGGGUUUAGCUAAUCAUGCUAGAUAAGGAAAUUGAAGAAAUAGAUGAAGAACUAAGCAUAUGAAUUAACUGCUAAAAUUAUAUUGCAAUAAUUUAUCGUAAAUGUAAAGCAAAAGUGCCAAAAACGGCUACAAAAUAUGUUCUCACGAGCAUAGCUCUCUACUGAUGUAUCUGCUUCCCUAAAAAAUGGUAAAAUAUUCUAUUUAUACUAAGCUGGAAAAUCUGGACAAAAAUACUCCUGCGAGUUUAGUGGGGGACACAUUAAAUGGGUCGUGGCCGCACUGGGCUCACUCCUACUUCUCUGAACUUGGACUUCGGGGACCGCGUAGAACGAACCGCAGCCACGAAGGGAGCUGGCGUGGUCCGCGUAACCACGACCGCGGACCGUAUGGAACUAGCUUUGCAAACUCAAUGUCUCUGAACCUCAUGACUGCGGACUGCACAAAAGAGUAGUGCGGCCGUGGAGCCUUCACCGAGGACCGCGAGAUGUGUACCACGGCCGCGGUUCUUCUAGUCCUGAUUCACCAACUCUCUGAACCACCUAGUGUGGCUGCAUUCCACUUUGCGUGGUCCACACUAGGCCUUCUUUUCUUAAUAUUUUUUGGUCUUUGAUACUUGAGUAGGUUUCACUCCUUUUUGGGACGAUCUUUGACAUUUCGUCAGUUUGUCGAUCAAACCUACGAUCAAACACAACUUGUGAUCCUUUUAUGACUAUUUUGUAACAAUAUAUGAUCAAAGCAUAAGCAAGUAGGGGCAUAUAACAUGUUAAAAUCCUAACUUAUCGACUCCCCCAAACUUAAACCUUUGCUUGUCCUCAAGCAAACAAAAUAAGACCCACCCCUUAAAGGAAAAUCCAAGUAAUUCCAGUUGUUCUAAAUUAACCUCAACAAGCAUCAUUUGGGACUAACAAUUUCCCUCAAUACGAAUGGAUCAUUAACAGAGCAUCAAGAAUUGACUUAUUACAUCAAAGAACUCUCUUAAUUACUUUGGUCGUUGUGGACCCCAAACUCACACAUCCUCAACUCUCCCUAAGCAAACCUCCCCUUUUUAGAGUAUAAGCACGCAAACCAAGGUUAAUGGGAAGUCACUCGUCUCUCUAAAGGAAAGGUCACAAGUCCGACUCUAAAUACCAUAUGAUUGACCCUCAUGUAAGCAUCCACUAAUGUGAGCGUCAUCCAACUCAAGAUCAUAUAGGGCUUUUACGGAGUCAAUGUGAAGGCUUUUGGUUCAGGGUAGGAAAAGUUGUUGGUCUAUAUGUGUUCCAUCUUCCCUUAAGCACUUCUUUUGAUUCAUUCUGGCACAAUUCUCUUUGACUCUUUGAGUAUUCCACUUCUUUUCAAAGGGUUAGAGAGAAAAAAAAUAAAAGCAUUUCUCCCUUUUCUACUUUUUUUCCACACCUUUUUCACUUUUGUUUUUCUUAAAUCCCGUUUUAUUCUUUGCACAUUGAGCUUUCUUUUAGUCUUUUUCCUUUCUUUCUUUUUCAUCGCCUUCCUUUCCUUUUUCUUUUGUUCCUUUUACCCCUUUGUUUCCUUUCUUGUCUCUCCCCCCCCAAACUUAGNNNNNNNNNNNNNNNNNNNNNNNNNUUGUUCCUUUUACCCCUUUGUUUCCUUUCUUGUCUCUCCCCCCCCAAACUUAGACUUUUGCCAUUACUUAAGGGACGAUUUGGGUUCCAAGAGAGGGUAUAAUUUAGAACGGGUAUAGGCUUGUAGCAUUGGUUCUUGAAAGAAAAAGGUUUUAGGCUCAAAAGGGUUAGCUAAGGAUUAUAUCAUUGGUAGGUUAUGGAAUUGUUCGACUAUUGUUUGGAUCAAGGAGAGCCUAUAAUCACUUCUCAAAUCCAAUUUCACUCAAAAUUUUGCCUCAACAAACAUUCAGUGCAAGUUCUAGACCAUUGGCUCUGGACUUGGACUCACAAUUCGAUUUCUCACCACACACACUCAAGGAUUUCUAAAAACAUAGAGUCGGGGGCCCAUAACAACCUUAGACACGAUUGAGCACACAAUAGUCCCGAAAGACCACAUGAUGUUUGUUUGGUCAAAACAAGAGUCUCAAGGUCACUACAUUCACCAUCCUAAACACAACCACUUGUCUUUAACCAUGGGAUCAAAGGCAAAUGUGUUAGGCCCAAGUGAAGCUUUGCUUGAGAUACCCUUAACUAUAAACUACUAAAAACGAGGGAAAAAUCAAAAAACGGACUCAAACCCUUAAGAAGGUUUUCACGUCAUCCAUCAUCGGGAAGAGCCACCCAGUUCGCACAAUACUCCACCCUUGGAAAGAACUGUGGCAUUAGGAAAACUAAGGGUUUUUUGAAAGUGCCAAAAUCGAAACAAAAAGGCUGUGGGCCUAUCUACUAGGCUAAGAAUGAAAUAUUUGUACAAAAAUAGAAAAUAGAAUGAAUAUUUACAAUAUGGUAUUAGAAUAUACAAUAGGGGAUGAAUAUACAUACAAAAAUAUAACUUUAUAUAUAGACCAAAGAGAAGAUAAAAAGUGAGAUAAAAGUAACUAAAUGUAAAGUUAUAUACAUACCAAAUAAAAAAAUCAACAGAAACAUAAACUAAGUCAACUAAUAUAUACAAUCAUCCGGAUAAAAAGUAGGGUGCACCCCCACAAAUAAAAGUUGGCAUUGUCCCCAAUGCCAACUAAACAAAUAAGCAUAAAAAAAUCAAGAGGAAAGGAUAUAGGACCUCCCUAAGCCUCGUCUGUCUACAUGGGAACAUGAAUGGUCCCCUGGUCCUCUGUAUUUACGGGAACCUCAGACUGGUUCCCGGUUUCCUUCUGCUCAGCUGCUGGGAUUGGCGCCUGGACCUGUACGGGCUGAAUAUUAGGAACAUCCUGUGGCUGACUGGAGGAAGCCUCCGGUGGAUCCGCCAACAGGAUGAUCGCCUCAUCUGCACUGGGGAGCUUCCUCUUCUUCUUUGGAAGCUGUUGUGUCUCUGCUACUGGUGUUGCUGCUGGGGAUGGAUCCUCGAAUAGCAAGUCUAAAGGCAGCUGGUCUACCUUCAGUUUGUCAACAUCCUCCCUCAGCGCCUUCACAAACUCCUUGGAAGACCGUGUUUUGUGCAACUUCUUAUGCUCCCUGGCAAGCUCCUUCAGGGCCUUGCCAUAUGAAUCCACCGCCUUAGCCAAGGCAGCCUGAGAAUCGAGGAUCGUUUGCUGGUUGGCAAGAAUCUCCUUAAGUGAAUCCUAGAUAGACUAGGGCACCUACACUAGCUGUGGUGCCGACUGAGCCGCAAUGGUAGAAGUCAAGGUGGACAACUUGGAUAAAGCAGUCGCCAUCCAGUUGUUCAAGCUAUGAAAUGUUUGGCUAAGCUGGUGGGCGGUGAUAGGAUGGGCCCAGGAAGAUGGAAUCCCUGGUCCAGCUGAAGUAGAGGGACCAACAGUAGUGGAAGGUCCGGGAGGCAUGUCAGCAACUGUGGAAGUAGGCUCAGUGGAGGGCUCUACCACAACCGGCUCUUUAGACUAGCCGGUUGGGGUAGAAGCAGGCGGCUUGUAAUUUUUGUCCUUGGGGUUGUCUGACCCCUUCAAACUGUACCAUGAGAACGGAGCCACAAGUUUGACCUUUAUGUCAAAAGGUCUCUUCUCCACCUCUAGGUCCCGGAAAUACAUAGUGAGGGUGCUGGGAAAAGGAUAGUUCCGGUCAUGCUCAACCCCAACUGCAGAAAUGACGCGGGACAUCAUAUUGCCCACAUUGAUAGGAUAUCCUGCCAUAAUAGUAGCAACAAGAACAGCCCGGGCAAGUGGAAUAGUCUGAUCAUGGGUAGUGGGGUCGAGCUGACUGCACACAAAAGUCAACCACCCUCUAGCCUCAAAGUUGAAAGUUCAACGACGUAUUUUUGUCCUGAUUGCAACCACUCUAGAACCGUACCCCGGGAUUUCCAUGUAUGAAGCUAACCACCGAUGAACCUCCUCGCCCAUUGCCAACUUUUCAUUGUAAAAGGACUCAUCUUCAUCAUUGAACCUAGGUAUUCAUUUAGUGCCUUCCCGGUAAACACCACAUUUUUGUUUCUCACUUUGGUGACCUUAGUGCCCUUCAAGAUGUGGGCCACAUUGCUAUAGAACUCCUUGCCCAUAUGAUCAUUAGCCUUUACACAAUUAUCUUUAAAGAACUCCCAACCCACUCGAGCCUGAAAUUGUCUAUAUACAUUGGGGUGUAGGGGUAGGAGGUCUCUGUCAAUGAAACUCCUUUCAAGAAUCAAUUUCCGUGCUGGCCACCAUUCCCUAAACUUGUGGAAUGCCACCUAGUUGACGAAUCUAUCCUCCCAAACAACGGGAUUCCUCGUCCAGUCAACACCCCCAACCUUCGGCACACCACCAGCCGAUAACUCCCCAUCCCCCUCAUCACCUCUAGCACCCUCUCCAGAUAUUGAUGUUGUGGGAGAGGUAGAGCAUUUAUCCCCUCUACCUGCCGUUGAGCCCUCAAACGACCCAGAAGAAAUGUUGAUUGAGGCUCGAGCAUAGGGGGGAAGAUGGGGGAGUGUCUCUAUGUAUGGCGUUCUCUGGAUAUGGGAUGUAUAGAGGGACUAAAUCUUAAGAGAUCUCCUGGGAGGGCUCGUACUCACUCCCCGAGGUCUCAAGGGCUCUAUCUGCCGCUUUGAUUGCUUUCCUUAUGUCCUUUAUGUUUUGUCUAGACUGGAGUGAGUUUUACCAUCCGUUGCUUCCCUCCCCGGGAGGAAUUACCUCGGCCGGGUUGUUUGGCACAUUUACCUCAUUGUUUGACCAUUAUAUGCAAGCAUACACAACUAACAUGGUUAGUAUCAGCAUAGGCAGUGAAACAAGUCUUGAAAUUGAAUUGCAGACAGCAGGUUAUAAGUUCAAUUUCAAUCACAUGGGCACCGCGGUCCACGCAAAAUGGUAAUGCGGACUGCGCCAGGGCACCGCAGACCGCACAAAGGCGACCACGGGCCGCAGAGAGUACUUUGAACAGGCACUAAGUUAGGGUUUAAGUUUUUGCUGUUUUUGUUCAAGUUUUCCACCUAACUUGUCCCUACUCAUUUUACCCAGUUCACAAAGGUCUCUAAACACACAACAUCCCACCAUUACACUUUUCGAGGCUAACAAAUGAAAUAAAAACGAGAAGAAGAAUAGACUCUAGCUACUGGGCAUGAAAAACAAAAUGAAAUUAUAAUAUAAAACAAAGAAAGAUGAUGAAAUAUUACCAGAUUGUGAUGAUGAGAUGCAAUUAAUCAGGCUAAACAAGAAUUACUAUCAGAAGAGAGAGUGAACAGUAUGUUUUAGGGGUCUGAGUGUUAAAAUUUCGAAAAGUGUAAGUUGUGACCCUUAGGAUCUAUUUAUAGAAAAACAAUGGGACCCAACCUUACCUGCUAGCGCGGCAGCACAAAACCGACCGCGGACCGCGCUAGGUUUGUUCAUAAUGAAGCUUGAUCAAGCAACCUCUGUGGUCCGCACAAAACAAUCCGCGACCGCAGAGAUCCACUGCGGUUUGCACUAAAUGGAAUGUGGCUGCGGUAGCAAACUUCAGAGAGUACAACUUUUCACCAUCACCAGUGCGGACCGCACAAAAGCAACUGCGGUCGCACUGGCAAUCUUCAGAGACUGUUCAACUCUUUUUUGUCAAACUAUUUUGCACUACAUCAACUCAAUCCCUGCAAUAUCUCACAAUCAGUUAGCUCAAAAAUCAAACCUACACUACCAAGAAAACACAGAAAACAACAAUAAGGAAAAAAUGACAUGUGUUGCCUCCCAAGCAACGCCUGAUUUAACGUCGCGGCACGAUGCAUGUUACCAGCACAUUACUUUAGAUGGAGAAGUGCCACCACGUGGUUAUCAUCAAAUUUCCCAAGAUAAUGCUUGACCCGAUGUCCAUUGACUCAGAAUACUUCACCACUCUUGUUCCUUAGAUCAAGAGCACAAAAUGGGGUCAUGAACACAACUUGAAACGACCCACUCCACUUUGACUUGAGCUUACCCAGAAACAGACAUAAUCGAGAAUUGAACAAGAGAACCAUAUCUCCAAUCUUGAACUCCUUGCCCCGAGCAUAUUUGUCGUGAAGGUACUUCAUUUUAUUCUUGUACAAGCACAAGCUGGAGUAGGCAUGAAAUCUAAACUCAUCAAGCUCAUUAAGUUGUUCAACCCGCAGAUUUGCCGCAACAUCCCAUUCUAAGUUCAACUUCCUCAAAGCCCAUAUGUCCUUAUGCUCUAAUUCCACCGAAAGAUGACAAGCUUUCGCAAACACCAACCGAUACGGUGACAUACCAAUCAGAGUUUUGUAAGCUGUCCGAUAAGCCCAAAGACCGUCAUCCAACAUUUUCGACCAAUCGGUCCUAUUAGCAUUGAUAGUAUUAGACAAGAUACUCUUAAUUUCUCUGUUGGAGACUUCCACUUGGCCACUAGCUUGAGGAUGAUAGGGGUUCAAAACCUUAUGAUUGACAUUGUACUUAGAAAGCAACGUGUCGAAAGCCUUGUUGCAAAAGUGAGACCCCUCAUCACUAAUGAUAGCACGAGGAGUGCCAAACCUUGUGAAGAUACUCUUUUUCAAAAAUGCCACAACACUCCGGGCUUCAUUGUUGGGCAAAGCCACGGCUUCAACCCAUUUUGAGAUAUAGUCCACCGCCACGAGAAUGUAAGUGUUUCCACAAGAGCUCACUAAAGGACCGAUGAAAUCGAUGCCCCAAACAUCAAAAUAUCCACUUCGAGAAUUGUAUUGAGGGGAAUCUCAUCCCUUUUAAAAAUUCUGCCAGCUCUUUGGCACUCAUCACAUCUCUUCACCAAAUCUCCCGCAUCUUUAAACAAGGAAGGCCAGUAAUAUCCACAACUAAGCACUUUAGAAGUCAUUCUCGCCCCGCCAUGAUGGACACCAUAGGGAGAGGAAUGACAAGCCUCCAAAAUACCCAAUUGUUCCUCCUCUGGGACACAUCGUCGAUUCACACCAUCCGUGCAAAUCUUGAACAAGUAUGGCUCAUCCCAAUACAAUUCCAAACUAUCCCGCUUGAGCUUCUUCAUUUGGUUAGAAGAGAGCUCACACGGGAUUAUUCCGGUCACAAGGUAAUGGGCAACAUCGGCAAACCAUGACAUAUCUUUCAUUGACACUGCAAGGAGUUGUUUGUCGGGAAAUGAAUCAUUGAUCUCAAGGCCAUCACAAGGCCUCCCCACCUCCUCCAAAUGGGAUAAGUGGUCCGCCACUUAAUUCUAACUACCCUUCCGAUCAACAAUUUCUAGAUCAAACUCUUGAAGAAGUAACACCCAUCUCAUCAAUCUCGCCUUGGAUUCUUUCUUGAUCAUCAAAUACCUAAGGGCGGCGUGAUCGGUGUGCACUAUAACUUUGGUAAGGUCGAAACUUUUCCAUAGCAAACACAAUAGCCAACAAUUCUUUCUCGGUGACUGUAUAGUUUCUUUGAGCCUCAUUCAUGGUAUUGCUUGCGUAGUACACUGGAUGAGACAUCUUGUUAAUUCUUUGGCCCAAAACAACCUCAACCGCAACGUCACUAGCAUCACACAUGAGCUCAAAAGGCAAGCUCCAAUUUGGUGCGGUAAUGAUGGGGGUAGAAGUCAACUUGAGAUUAAGAAGCUCGAAUGCGUUCAUACAACUCUCAUUGAACAAGAACUUUGCAUCUUUCUCUAGCAACUUGCACAACGGAUGUACCACUUUGGAAAAAUCUUUUAUGAACUUCCGGUAGAAACCCCGCGUGCCCAAGGAAAUUCCUCACCCCUUUGACAUAAGUAGGGGGAGGGAGCCUCGAAAUAACCUCAAUCUUGGCCUUAUCAACUUCAAUUCCUCUCUUCGAGAUCUUGUGACCCAACACUAUACCUUCUUCUACCAUAAAAUGACACUUUUCCCAAUUGAGAACAAGGUUGGUGUCUUCACAUCGGGCCAACACUCUAUCCAAGUUUACCAAGCACUCCUCAAAAGAAUCAACAACCACGCUGAAAUCAUCCAUGAAGACCUCCAAGAUAUCCUCCACCAUGUCAGUGAAAAUAGCCAUCAUGCAACGUUGGAAGGUCGCCGGAGCAUUACACAAUCCAAAUGGCAUUCUAGAGAAGGCGAAUGUGCCAUAAGGACAUGUAAAAGUGGUCUUAACUUGCUCCUAUGAGGCAAUUAGAAUUUGAUUGUACCCUGAGUAACCAUCCAGAAAACAAUAUAAAGCCCGGGCCGCAAGAUGAUCAAGCAUUUGGUCAAGGAAUGGCAAUGGGAAAUGAUCUUUUCUAGUCACCUUGUUCAGCUUCCGGUAAUCCAUACAAACUCUCCACCCGGUGACCGUUCUAGUGGGAAUGAGCUCAUUGUUGUCAUUGGUCACCAUGGUCAUACAACCCUUCUUUGGCACACAUUGCACCGGAGAGGUCGACGAACUGUCAGAAAUAGGAUAAACCACCCCUGCAUCUAGCCACUUGAUAACCUCUUUCUUCACCACAUCUUGUAUCACCUCAUUUAGUCUUCUUUGAUGCUCCAAGGAAGGCUUUGCAUCCUCCUCCAAGAUGAUUUUGUCCAUGCAAAAUGCGAGGCUUAUUCCCCGAAUAUCAGCUAGAGUCCAUCCAAUUAUCCUUUUCCGCUUUCGAAGAACUGCCAAGGUGGCCUCAACCUGCAUGUUAGUAAGGCAAGAAGAAAGAAUAACAGGUAAAGUAGAAUUUGAACCCAAGAAUUCAUACCUGAGGUUUGGAGGAAGUGGCUUCAACUCCAACAUUGGUGGCUCCUCAAUCGAUGGCUUUGUUGGUGGAGUUUUGCGGUUUUUAAGAUCCAAAGAUAGCCUCAUAGGCUGAUAUCACAGUUGUGACAAUGUCUACAAAUGAACACACCUUCGUGCUAUUAGGUUGUCUCAUUGAUUUGCAAACAUGGAAUACCACCUUCUCAUCCCCCACUGGGAAAGUCAACUCACCCACUUCAACAUCAAUCCAUGCCUUCCCCGUAGCUAGGAAAGUCCUACCAAGAAUAAUCGGCACUUCAAAGUACACCUCACAGUCCAAUAUGACAAAGUCGGUCAGCAGUAUAAACUUAUCCACCCGGAAAGGUACAUCAUCGAUUAUGCCCAAAGGUUGCUUCAUCGAUCGAUCCGCCAUUUUGAAGUCUCAUUGAAGUGGGUCGAGGUUGUCCAAUUCCCAAAGUCUUGAAGAUUGAGUACGGCAUCAAAUUUAUGGUGACACCCAAGUCACAAAGGGCCUUGGCAAAAUACGCACUUCCGAUAGUACAAGGGAUAGUAAAAGCUCCGGGAUCCUCAAGCUUAGGUGCCAUUGAAUGCACUAUGGAACUCACUUGAUGAGUCAUUUUAAUUGUUUCACACUCCAUCGACCUCUUCUUUGUUACCAAAUCCUUCAUGAACUUAGCGUACCCGGCAUUUGCUCAAGCGCCUCCACCAAAGUCACAUUGAUUGUGAGGCUCUUCAUCAUGUCAAUGAACUUUUUGAAUUGAUUGUCACUCUUUUGCUUUGCUAACCGUUGAGGAUAAGGUGGAGGUGGCCUAGGCAACAGUGCCUUGGCCUUUUGUACAACUGGCGCGGGCAUGUCAAUCACGUGUUCCCUAGACGGGUUCAUGGCAUCUUGAGUCUCUACCUCGGCUUCAUCAUCAAUAUCAACCCACACAUCAUUGUUCACAUUUUGAUUAACCACAUCAUCAACAACCAAAGGUACAUCAUCAUCCCGCAAUUCAACAUCUUCUUCCAUAAUUUGCUUUUGCUUUGAGGCAUUCACAUUAGCGCCUCUCCCACUUGUUGUUGUAACCGCCAUCACAUGAUUAUUAUUCCCACCCUUCGGGUUCACUACCGUAUCACUUGAUAGUGCACCCUUGGGACGAGUAUUCAACGCUUGAGAUAUUUGGCCUAAUUGCACCUCCAAGUUCCAGAUAGAUGUAUUAUGAGAAGCUAAUUAGGCAUCAGAAUGUUGGUUCUUUUUCAUAAUUUGCUCGAACAUGCUUUCAAUUCUCCCCAUAUCACUCCUGGAAGAAUUAGUACCUUGAGAAGGAAAGGGGGGUGGAUUGUUUGGUUGUUGGUACAUGGGGGCCUUUGAAAGCCUUGUCCCCGGUUGCCUUGGUUCCCGCUAUUGUUCCACCCUCCUUGAUUGUUGUUGUUGGCCCAAUUAUUGUUAUUACCAUUCCAAUUUCCUUGGUUGUUUUGAUUACCCCAGUUGUUGUUUUGGUUGUUAUUAUUCCAAUUGCCACCAUCUUGUUGUUGAUUGUUGUUAUUCCAAUUACCUCUGCCUUGUUGUUGAUUGCCCUAAUUUCCUUGAGGACACCAUUGUUGAUUUGAAGAGUUGUUAUUCCCUUGGCAGUUAUUGACAUAUUGGACCUCUUCGCUUUGGUCAUCAUAGCACUCAUUUGAAUAACCACCACCAUCAUUGUUGUUGUCAUAUUGUUCACAAUUACUUUGUGGAUAUUGCCCUCUUUGCCUCUUUUUCAACAUAGAAACACCUUCCAUUGUAUUAACUUGGCGUGGGUUUUGGACUUGUUGCAAUUGUGCCUUUGCUAAUUGAUUCAUAGUUAUUGUAAGCUGGGCAAUAGCUUGGCCAUGAUCGUGCAAUUCCUUGUGCAAAUGGAUGACCGUAGAGUCACCUUGGGGCACAUUUUCUCGACUUUUCCAUGCCGAAGAGGCAUCGUCCAUUUCAUCAAGUACAUCACAUGCCUCUUGGUAAGAAAGUUUCAUAAAGUUCCCUCUGGCCAAUUGGUUCACAAUGCAUUGAUUCGUGGUGUUGAUGCCCCGAUAAAAGGUUUGUUGAAUCAUAGCCUCGGUCAUGUCGUUAUUAGGGCACUCAUUCACCAUUGUUCUAUAUCUUUCCCAUAUCUCAUGCAAAGGUUCCGUUGGCUCUUGCUUGAAGACUAGAAUUUCAUCCCGAAGAGCCGCCAUAUGAUUUGGAGAAAAGAACUUGGCAAUAAAUUUAUCUUCCAAUUCAUCCCAUACUGUAAUAGAGUGAUUGGGGAGCCUUUCUAACCAAUACAAUACUUUACCUCAAAGAGAGAACGGGAAAAGCCUCAAUCUCAACGAAUCCUCGGACACGUUUGUCUGAUUACUACCCCAGCAUGUAUCCACGAACCCGUUCAAGUGCUUGUAGGCAUUUUGAUCGGAGCCGCCCAUGAAAUACCAUCUUUGCUCGAGCAAGGUCAACAUAACAAUUAUGAUUUGAAAGUUCCCCUCCCGAAUUCGGGGAGGCACAAUAGCACUGGCGUAUCCUUAAUUUGGUAAAACUCUGGAAGCCACUCUCGGUGGUUGCGGAGGAGGGUCUGGAAUAUUGUUGUUCUCAUUUGCAUUUAUAUUGGCAUUUUGGACCCUCUAUGGAACUUGAGGUAAGACCUCAUCUUGUUCUAGAUCCUCUACCUCCUCCCCCGCUAUCACAUUGCCGAGAGGGUCAUUUGCAUUAAGAGCCAUUUGUACCUGAUUAAUCGACACAAACAGAAUUAGUAAACAAGAAGGAAAGAGAAGCCAAACACAAAACUAACUAAACAGAUGUCAACACCGUAAGCUCCCCGGCAACAGCGAGAAAAAAUGAUCGUUGCCAACUCGAUGCUACACUAAGGUAGGAAGAGCGGGUUACAAUAGCUUUUACCCAAUAUGAGGGUUGGGAUCGAUUUCCUCAGGGAGCUAAUAGUGGAGUUGGAUUGUCUGUCUAUCCUAGAGAUGUGUUUGUACACCUAAUGUCACUUGAAACAUUUUUAGGUUUUCAAAUUAUCACUAUUUUUGUAAAACUAUUGAUUAACACUAAAUUAUGCUACGAGAAUAUUGCUAAGUUGUAUCUAAUGGGAAGUCGGGCACCAGGGUCGUGACACUACCUAGGUGGCUAAUUGACGGGUAGAUGUUACUAGGGUUCGAUUGACAUAAUUGAGGCUUAUGCUAUAACCGUUGCACAAUUUUACCCACUCUCACACCUCUCGAUAGAGAAAGUGACUUUGCCCAAUUGACUCUCUCGAGACCAAAUGGGUAGGAAAAUUAAACCAAGCAACUAGGGUUCAAGUAGGGUAAUUACUCUCUCGAGGUUUAACCCGUUAAUUGGGACUAUCAUUUCUCAUGAGUCCAUCCCAAUUCCUUGUUGGGUCAAUUUUGGGGUUGUAGACUCUCUUUCUCAAGAAGGGUUAAACCCACAAAGCAUGAAUCAUUGUUUGCAACCACCAAUUCUAUAUUAAAACAUAAAAUCAACCCAAAUAGCAAACACCCAUAGUCAAUCUAACACUAGAUGGUAACACCCAUCAAUUACCCACACUAGGGUUGAGCUACAACCCUAGAUAAUGGGUUUAGCUACUCAUGCUAGAUAAGGAAAUUGAAGAAAUAGAUGAAGAACUAAGCAUAUUAAUUAAUUGCUACAAUUAAAUUGCAAGAAUUUAUCGUAAAUGUAAAGCAAAAGUGCCAAAAAUGACUACAAAAUACGUUCUCAUGAGCGCAACUCUCUACUGAUGUAUCUGCUUCCCUAAUAAAUGGUAAAAUGUUCUAUUUAUACUAGGCUGGAAAAACUGGACAAAAAUACCCCUGCGGGGUCAGUGCGGGGUCACUUCUGCUUCUCUGAACUUGGACUCUACGGAUCGCGUUGAAUGGACCGCGGUCGCGGAGGGAGCUGGCGCGGUCCGUGCAACCACGACCGCGGACCGCAUGGCACUAGCUUUGCAAACUCAAUCUCUCUGAACCUCAUGACCAUAGACCAUACAAAAGAGUAGUACGGCUGCGGAGCCUUCACCGCAGACCACGAGAUGUGUAUCGCGGCUGCGGUUCUUCUAGUCCUGAUUCACCAACUCUCUGAACCACCUAGUGUGGCCGCAUUCCACUUUUCGUGGUCUGCACUAGCCCUUCUUUUCUUAAUAUUUCUUGGUCGUUGAUACUUUAGCAGGUUUAAUUCCUUUUUGAGUCGAUCUUUGACAUUUCGUCACUUUGUCGAUCAAACCUGCGAUCAAGCACAACUUGUGAGUCUUUUAGAACUAUUUUGUAACAAUAUAUGAUCAAAGCAUAGGCAAGUAGGGGCAUAAAACCUGUUAAAAUUCCUAACUUAUCAGCCGACGACAACGACUUUUAUUUUUUGCCCUUGGGCGUACGCAUUUUAACCACUUUUGGGUUCAGUCUCCGAGUCGAGUUCUGACUCGAGCUCAAUCGACCCUCAAGUUUUACGUUUGCAUGGGAUGGUGACAAUGGCUCUUACGCCUUGGGUCGAAGUGACCUUUUAUGUAUGUGGCCCUGAGGCUUGUAGAGCUGGCGACGAUGGCUCUUACGUUGUGCCCUUAGGCAUAUGUAGUUAACUAUUUUGGAUCCGGUAUCCGAAUGGGUUACGAUUUGAGCUCAUUUUAAUCCUCAAACUUUCAAAUUUUAAGCUGGUGACGGUGGCUCUUACACUUUGGUCGUUGCGACCUUUUAGUGUGUGGACGUGAGGCACAUUUGGCUAGUAACUAUGGCUCAUAUGCUUUUGCCCUUAGGCAUAUGUAGGCUUUGUUUUUCCCUUGUUAAGGUCCUUUUUAAAAUAAUUUUGCCUGACCCGUCGUCGGUUCGGGAAGAACCUCGAUUUCAAGUCAUUAGCGGCGAUGUUCGAGCACCUCGGGAGGUUUAGCUCGUAGGCUGAGUAACUUGAAGCCUUGCGAUUUGGAGCUGACAUGGUUGAAGCUCGUUUGCCUGUUGAAGGUAGCCUAUUUUAAUCGGUUCUUUUCGAAGUAGAUUUGAAGUAAUGGCAUGCAAUUUUGUUAGCGACGAUCAGGCGUCCCUGAGUCGCGUAAUUUGGCUGGUGCAGCCAUUUUGACUGUAGUCAUAUGUGUUUGGCCGGAGCUAUUUUUGAUCCCGAGUGUGAUAGUUUAGGUGUCUACAUCGAGGGUAUGCCCUUUCGGGAGUCUUACAAAUGCUACAUAUAGCCUAAACUUUGGGAUUGAGUUUUAUGGUUGUAGUGAAGUCUUACUAAAAUUUCAUGUCUGUUAAGGUUUUACAGUUUUUUCAUGCCUGUUGAGGUCUUACAGUUUUUUCAUGCCUGUUGAGGUCUUACAGUUUUUUCAUGCCUGUUGAGGUCUUAUAAUUUUUUGUUGUUAUGUAAAAUAGAUCUGGCUAGAUCGAGUUUGCUCGCUUAGGGUCUUACGGCCUCUGGUUUUCCAGUGAAUGGCAGUUGAUGAUAGUCUCUGAGUCAUCGAGUUUGCUUAGGCUCGAAGGACAUUACUCAUGAGCUCGGAAUUGCCUCGUUGGGGCCUUAUGAGCAUGGAAUUCUGACCCUAAGGUCGUGUGGGUGCCAAAUUGUUGACGCCAAGUCUCUGAGUAUUUCGGGAUGUACUCGGUGGAUGGAUCCUUGCCGUGAGCAUGCUGAAUUUUCUUUUGGAGUACGAGAUGCUUUUGGCGAAAGAUAUUCUUUGAUUGCUUGGCGUACAUACAUAUCGUUGUGUUGCCUUAAGCCCGGCUUAUGCGGGCACGGUUCAUUCGACCGUUUGGUCCGGUACAUCAUUUCCUAUUGGAACCUCGUUUGUCAUUUCCCGGUACAUGGUUGAUUGCAAAGAGAAUCUGGUAGGCUUGUUGAGUCUUUCUUGGGAAGUGCGUGGACGUUUCCUUGUUAAAAACCUCAUUGGCAAAAACCCAUUUCAAGAUAAAAAACUGGUCAAAGGAAAGGAGUGCAACGGACUCUUUGAAACCUCAGGGUCCUCGAGUCGGAGCGGCGUCCCGACUGCCUUGGUCACUGGUCUGCGCAAGAGUCACCGUGAAGUAAAAGAUAGAAAAAAUGGAGAGGUGAUUAUACCUUGGUCUGCGCAAGAGUCACCGUUUAUUUGGCGGAUGCUAUAUGUUCCUUUAUUUGAAUACGUCCGGGAGCGAGCAUCAAAAAAUCAUGUGGAUGACGUGUUGUGGGCUCAUCUACUUUGUUUUUUUGGUUGUUUCUCUUUCUCGGGACUGGUUUUUAGCCCGGUUGCUGAGAAAUUCCCGAAGGUGCCCAUUAUCGAGUAGUUGGGCCACUUCCUCUUAGAGUUGCCUGCAAUCCUCAGUUUUGUGCCCGUGCGAGUUGUGAAACUUGCAAAUCAAGUUGUAGUUACUUUGGGAAGGAUCAGAGUGUAUAGGCCUCGGCCAUCUGGCGACCCUGAUUUUGCUGAUGGCGAACAUGAUGUCUGAUAUGUCGACGUUGAAGUUGUAUUCUGAUAGGCGAGGUGCCCUCGUUCACCCCGUGUCCCCUUCGAAGCCACCUCUAUUGAGGGGUCCCCGAGGUUUCUGUCCUUUGUUCACCAAUCGAUCGUUGCGAGGCGGAUUGCAUCUCGGAGUAUUCCUCAUAUCAUCGGGGUACAGCUGGUACCUCCCUUUAUUUAAUCUUGACUCUUUCGCUAAGAGUCUACUCAGAUAUACUAAGCCCGAGGGGGCUCUAGCUGGUCAUCCUCGACCCUAACUUUGACUGGUAUCGAUUGUGGAUGUCCAACCAGUUCACGGCGGGAUACUCGAUCAGAUUCUCUUUCAGCUGCCUUGAGGCCACCGAGCUUCAUUCAUUCAGGUCUUGAGUGAAGACCUGCACUGCCUAAUCAUUGAACACCAGGGGUAGUUCCAUUCGUUCUGUCUGGAAACGAGACACGAAUUCUCACAGCAUUUCAUUCUUCCUCUGCUUAAUCUUGAAUACGUCGGAUUUCCUUGUUACUACCUUGAUGGCACCGGCAUGCGCCCUUACUAAGGAAUCCGCUAACAUGGCAAAUGAAUCUAUAGAGUUGGGGGCUAGGUUGUGGUACCACAUCAUGUCCCCCUUCGAAAGCAAUUCUCUGAACUUCUUUAGUAAGAAGAACUCGAUCUCAACGUCUUUUAUGUCUUAGCCUUUCACCGUGCAUGUAUAGGCAGUGACAUGUUCGUUGGGAUGCAAUGUCUCAUUGUAUUUUAGGAUUUCUGGCAUCUUGAACUUCUUUGGAAUGGGUUUCGGAGCCGCUUCCUUUGCCGUUGCACAAACUUCCUCGAAUCUACACCCUUCAAGAUCGGGGGCGCACCCGAGAUUUGGUCGACUCUAAAGUUAUAAGUUUCAACCUUCUUAUCGUUUGCUUCUAUCAUUUUCUCACCUGACUCGAUCGUUUUGGUGAGGUCCUCCAGCAUUUUCACGAUGGCAGGAUCGGCUACUAAUUCGUUGUUGCUUGACCUCUCCGGUACCUGUUCGGCCAGGGGAGUAGUUUCUGGCGCUACUAUGCUGGGAGUCUUCGGGUGUCUUUGCAACUGAGAGAUAGCCAACUGUUGUGCCUGCACCAUUUCAAAAAUAUCAUGAAGACUAACUUCCUGUACUUCCCGUCGGGGUCUUCUGGGCUUCCUGUUGGUUGCCAUGUUGUAUGCUUCUGUCGGUGUUUGAGGUUUCAUCGACCUGUUGCGCGUCUUGGAACCCGCGUCCACUGGAAUCAGUCCAGGUGCAUAAUCGGGGUUCUGUGGUAGCGCGCCAAAGACAGAAACAACCACACCAUUUUCUCCGUGAUUUUCAAGGUUGUCAUUCUCAACUCUGUUUACUGAGCCAAACAUUUUGUCCUGAAAUCAAAAGAUCUUGGACAAGAAAAAGUGUGAAAGAUAACUUGCGUUUGUGUAAUGAAACCAGCAAGAAAAUAAUUACUAUUAUUUUUAGCCCCACGGUGGGUGACAAACUGUUUACCGUGAAAAUAGAAAUAACAAUUAAAUUUGUAAAUAGGACUCUAAAAAUACAUGAUCUAUUUUUAUGCUAGUUGUUUAGUGCAGUUGAUGCUAGGCGUAUGAAGUUUAACGACGAAAUACAAGUUAAAACGGGGCAGUGAUCAAACCGAGGGGCUUGCUUCCCCGACUUCAGACUGAUCGAUGAAAGGCCUCGAGGUCGAUACCCGGCUCUAGAUCGAGCUAUCGGGGGUAACCGGGAAAGGGACAACAGUUAAGAUAUAAUUAUAUGAGGCUCUUUAUGGCCAAUAUCAAGCAAUGAAUGAAGAAUAAGUAAGAAAGCAAUAAAUGUAAAGAGUAGCCUCGAGCGAGUAAAUUAGAAAGAAAAGAGAGAGAAAGAAGGAGAGAGAGAGAGAGAUAUAUAUUAUUGAUCAUGUGUAGAAUGGUUGGAGCAACAACCGCCCUUUACAAAGUGGUGAGGAUCCCCUUUAUACAGGAGGAGUAAUACAACAUAGUACAGAAUGCAUUAAGUGUAAAGACACAGAGAUGGGAUGACUAGACAUGAUAUCAGACUCUACUUACGCCAUUUGCUCGCCUCGAGGUUUCCCCACCCUCGGGGUUAUUGGUGGGUCGAACGUGAAUGAACUUUGAGGGGGAGAACUUGGCCGCAAUCCCGCAGCCUCAAAAUAUUGAUACGACUCCCCAAAUACACCUUAAUGGCGAGAAAUUGGACCUUCUGGUUUCACCGUAUACAAAGUGCUAAACAAUUAUAAAUAGAUCGAUAUGAAUGUUGAGGACCACCUAAUUUCAUAGUAGGAUUUAACAAGGCAGCAAUACCAUAAAUAGGGGGAAUAGGAUAAAAAUAUUUUUUUAAUUUCUUUCUCAUAGAAUCAAUAGCUACUUCAUAAAUUUCUCCACCCUCUGAAAAAUAAGCAAACAAAUUUGCAAGAUCUGCAAGAUAAACUAAACAAUUCGAAAUAGUAGGAUAAUAUUGCCCAGAAAAUUCAUUUGCAGCAACAUGAAAUCUUUCUAAAAAAAAUUCAAGCAUUUUAACAUUAUCCCAAUCUGCAUUUGUAAGGUGCUCAUCAUCAUCACUUACAUGAGCAUUAAACAUUGAGUUUAUGGGGUUACUAUAUUCAUAUGCAACAACUAAACUUUUAUACAUGUAAUUCUAUCUAGUUGGACAAGGUUUAGGAACCUUUCUUUCUCUUAGGCAAAAUUCAUCACAUCUUUUUAAAUAUUCUCUAAGUCUACUUCUACGGUCUAAAUAAAAAAGCCAGUUAAGAGACAUUUUAACCUUUUCAAUUUCAACAUUUAAAAUUCUCAUACCAUCAUCCACAAUUAAAUGGUAAAGAUGACAAAUAUAUCUAACAUGAAAAAUGUUACUAAAUGCAAGACUUAGUGUAGAGGGUAAGCAACUCUAUAUCAUUUGUGUUACUAGUAGCAUUAUCCAUUGAAGCUGACAUUAUUUUAUCACUAAUGCAAAAAUAUCUACAAAUAUCCGUAACCGUGCUAGAAAUAAACUACCCUGUGUGACAUGAAUUAAUUAUUCUAUAAGCAAUAAUGCACUUUUGCAUUAUCCAAUCCUCAUCAAUACAAUGACUGGUAACAGUAAGGUAAUCACGAUCAUUACCUCUUCUACCAAUAUCAGUUGUAAUAGCAACACGAUAAUUUAUAUGAGUAAAUAAAUAGUGCAAAUAUUGUUCAUAUUUAUAAAUAUCGCUCUUUACGGUCAAGGCUAUAAACUCGUUAAAUACAUCAGUGUAGUGCGCGUGCGGCCCAGAACAUCUAAGGGCAUCACAUACCUAUUAUUGCCUCAAAUUUCCACGGCCUAAAAGGUCGUAGUCCCUCUAAGAAGCUGGCUGCAAAGGGAUACCUCUGCAUAGCUAGUUAGCAGGCUGAGGUCUCGUUCGUUAACGGAAUUAACAAGACAAAUCGCUCCACCAAUUAAUAACGGGCAUGCACCACCAUCCAUAGAAUCAAGAAAAAGCUCUCAGUCUGUCAAUCCUUACUAUGUCUGGACCUGGUAAGUUUCCCCGUGUUGAGUCAAAUUAGGUCGCCGGCUCCACUUCUGGUGGUGCCCUUCAUUCAAUUACUUUAAGUUUCAGCCUUGCGACCAUACUCCCCUAGAACCCAAAAACUUUUAUUUCUCAUAAGUUUCUGGCGGAGUCCUAAAAGCAACAUCUGUCGAUCCUUGUUAGGCAUCAUUUAUGGUUGAGACUAGGACGGUGUCUGAUCGUUAUCGAGCCCUCAACUUUCGUUCUUUAUUAAUGAAAACAUCCUUGGCAAAUGCUUUCGCAUUUCGUAUUUCAUCAAUCCAAGAAUUUCACCUCUGACUAUGAAAUACGAAUGCCCCCGACUAUCCUUGUUAAUCAUUACUUCGAUCCCGAAGGCCAACGUAAUAGGAUCAAAAUCCUAUAAUGUUAUCCCAUGCUAAUGUAUACAAAGUGUAGGCUUGCUUUGAGCACUCUAAUUUCUUCAAAGUAACAGCGUCGGAGGCACGACUCGGCCAAUUAAGGCCAGGAGCGCAUCGCCGGCAGAAGGGACGAGACGACCGGCGCACACCUAAGGCGGACCGGCCGGCCCAUCCCAAAGUCCAACUACGAGCUUUUUAACUGCAACAACUUAAAUAUACACUAUUGGAGCUGGAAUUACCGCGGAUGCUUGCACCAUACUUGCCCUCCAAUGGAUCCUCGUUAAGGGAUUUAGAUUGUACUCAUUCCAAUUACCAGACUCAUAGAGCCCGGUAUUGUUAUUUAUUGUCACUUCCUCCCCGUGUCAGGAUUGGGUAAUUUGUGCGCCUAUUGACUUCCUUGGAUGUGGUAGUCAUUUCUCAGGCUCCCUUUCCAGAAUCGAACCCUAAUUCUCCAUCACCCGUCACCACCAUGCUAGGACACUAUCCUACCAUCAAAAGUUGAUCGGGCAGAAUUUUGAAUGAUGCAUCCUCGGCACGAUGGUCGUACGAUCCGUCGAGUUAUCAUGAAUCAUCGCAGCAAUGGGCAGAGCCCAUGUCGACCUUUUAUCUAAUAAAUGCAUCCCUUCCAGCAGUCGAGGUUUGUUGUACGUAUUAGCUUUAGCAUUACUACGGAUAUCUGAGUAGUAGAUACCAUCAAACAAGCUAUAACUGAUUUAAUGAGCCAUUCACAGUUUCACAGUCUGAAUUUGUUCAUACUUACACAUGCAUGGCUUAAUCUUUGAGACAAGUAUAUGACUACUGGUAGGAUCAACCAGGUAGCAUUUCCUAUUGAUGCCGGUGUCGCAUGAGCAUGGCCGAUCCAAAGGGCACGACCAAGUCCAAGACGACCACGACCAUCAUUCGUAAGGAGCAUUAUUUGGUAGAUAGGAGCCAAUAAAGACCCCAUGCCCAUUGCGUUUACCAAAUCCGAGGGUUCGAGCAUAUUAGUCGUGGACCAAGACAUCAAAAGGCGAAGCGAGGAUGACCUGGGACACAACUACAUCUUUUGGUUCACCCCGCACGUCGAACGCGAGGGGCGAAAGGCAACCGAUUGUGCUUGAUAAUGCCUUGGAAUUAGGUAUGCAACACAGAAAACCGACGCCAAACAAGCCUAAUUUGCGUUUGUGCCAUGACUGAGAUGGCAUGCAAGCUAGGACGUCGCUGCUCAAGCAGGGAUCCAACCUAGCCACACAAGUCGAACACCACUCAUGUGCUGCACGUACACAUGCCUCGCCAAUACAAACAACCCCAACACGCGAUGAGCAGCCAUUUGUUGUUGCCGACGCCAACAUUGCAAAACCAAGACAAGACCUACAAAGCACAAACAAGGGGUUGGAGCGAUGCCAGACACAACCCAUAACAACCGAUGUCAAUCGGCAAUGUACUGAGCUUCACCUUAUGCACAUGGCACCUUGCAAUGCUACUUACACAAUGCUUCGCUGUUCCGUUGCAAAAAGUCAUUAGCCACCGCGAGCGAUGUCUCCUCCCGAUGUUGCCCGCAACACCUAAUGGCAAUUGACAUGUACUAAGCAUAGCCCCAUGCGCACGACACCUUGCGGCACUACUUGCACGACUCUCCACCAUUCAUUGCCAAAAGCCAUUGGCUACCACGAGCGAUGCCAGGCACAAUCCAUAACAACCGAUGGCAAUAGACAACUUACUAAGCUUUGCCCCAUCGCAUGGCACUUUGCGGCGCUACUUGCACGGUGUUUUUGUCGUUCCAUUGCCAAAAGCCAUCAACUGCCACGAGCGAUGUCACCCCCUGAUGUUGCCCGCAACAACCAAUGGCAAUCAACAUGUACUGAGCUUAGCCCCAUUUGCACAGCACCUUGCGGCGCAACUUGCACGACGCUGCGCCAUUCGUUGUGAAAAGCCAUCGGCUGCCAUGAGCGAUGCCAGACACAGCCCACAACAAUCGAUGGCAUCGGCAACUUACUAAUCUUCGCCCCAUGCGUAUGCACCUUGCGGCGCCACUUGCAUGACGCUUUGCCAUCCCUUUGCCAAAUGCCAUCAGCCGCCACGAGCGAUGUCGCCUUCUGAUGUUACCCACAAUAAUCAAUGGAAAUCGACAUGUACUGAGCUCGCCCUAUGCGCACGGCACCUUGCAGCGCUACUUGCAUGACACUACGUCGUUCGUUACCAAAAGUCAUCAGCUCCCACGAGCGUUGCCAGACACAACCUACAACAACCGAUGGAAAUCAACAAUUUACUGAGCUUCACCCCAUGCGCAUGGCACCUUGCAGCGCAACUUGCACGACGAUUUGCCAUUCCAUUGCCAAAAGCUACUAGCCGCCACGAGCGAUGUCACCUUCCGAUGUUGCCCACAACAACCAAUGGCAAUCAACAAGUACUGAGCUUCAGUCAUGAGCACGACCCCUUACGGCGCUACUUGCACGACGAUCCGCCGUUACUUACCAAAAAGCAUUAGUUGCCACGAGGGGGUGUCAAACAAAACCCCCAACAACCGAUGGCAAUUGGUAAUUUACUGAGCUUCGGCCCAUGUGCAUGGCACCUUGCGGCGCUACUUGCAUGAAGCUUUGUCGUUCCAUUGCCAAAAGCUAUCAGCCGCCACGAGCGAUGUCGCCUCCUGAUGUUGCCCGCAACACCUGAUGGUCAUCAACAUGUACUGAGCUUCACCCCAUGUGCAUGGCACCUUGCGGCGCCACUUGCAUGAUGUUGCGUUGUUCAUUUUCAAAAGCCAUCAGCUGCCACGAGCGGUGCUAGACACAACCCACAAUAACUGAUGGCCAUUGGCAACUUACUAAGCUUUGCCCCAUGUACAUGGCACCUUGCCAAGAUACUUGCACGAUGCUCCACCAUUCCAUUGCCAAAAGCCAUUAGCCACCACGAGCGAUGUCGCGACCUAAUUUUGCCCACACCAUCCAAUGGCAAUCAACUUGUACUGAGGUUAGCCCCAUACGCACGACACCUUGCGGUGCUACUUGCACGAUGCUCCACCGUUCGUUGCCAAAAGCCAAUGUUUCCCGCGAGUGGUGUCGCCACCGGACGUACUACGAGCUCACACGAGUACUUGCCAGCACGGUUUGCGAACAUUAGGGACGUAGCACGGACAAGCCGUGCAUGCCCCUAAUGUCCACACCCCAGGCCAGCGUCGCCCAUGCAUGCCCGCCUAUGCCAGGAAGCAAGCACUUGAGGUGUCUUUCAACACCUCUACCCCCAUUAUAUAUGCUUAAAAAAAACUCAAGUUUCAGGAGUAGACAUGUUUUGGCCAGAGAAUCAUAAUAGAUAUGUACAACACCAAAUAGCACAAACUAAAGUACAACUUAGCUAAUAUAUUCACAAUGACUUUUAAACAUUGUAAAUGAUAUUUUUUUACAAAAAAUAAUAUCUUUUGAAAUAUUUUUAUUAUAAAACGAAAAAUACUUAAUAAAAUACUAAAAAAUAUGAAAAUUAUUAUAAAUAUAGCAAAAACAAUGGAGAAAAAUUCCAAUACAUCUUUUAAUAAUAUAACACAUAAAAGAGUAAAUAUUUUUCUAUAAAAGUAACAUAAAAAUUAUUUAAAAUUACAAAAAAUGCAUAAAAAAUAGGUGAAAUACAUAAUAUUAUUAUAAAAGCAUAUAGAUGACCAACCACCAAUAAGCAUGAGGAACCUCCAUUGUCACAACACCAAAUAGCACAGACUAAAGUAAAACUUAGCUAAUAUAUUCACAAAUGACUUUUAAACAUUGUAAAUGAUAUUUUUUACAAAAAAUAAUAUUUUUUGAAAUAUUUUUAUUAUAAAACGAAAAAUACUUAAUAAAAUACUAAAAAUAUGAAAUUUAUCAUAAAUAUAGAAAAAACAAUGGAGAAAAAUUCCAAUACAUCUUUUAAUAAUAUAACACAUAAAAGAGUAAAUAUUUUAUAAAAAAAGUAAAAUAAAAAUUAUUUAAAAUUACAAAAAAUGCAUAAAAAUUAAUAAAAAAUAGAUUAAAAAAUAGGUAAAAUACAUAAUAUUAUUAUAAAAGCAUAUAGAUGACCAACCACCAAUAAGCAUGAGGCACCUCUAAUGUCGUAACCAUAACAAGCGAUUCCGAUUUGAAACCACCACCGCCAACAACCAAGCAUCGACCAACCAUCGUUGGUCGCUACCGCGACUUUCCACCACCGCCACUAACGACCACCAACAUCAUUGCGCUUGACAUGUUGCUAAGCAUUGGCUAGAACUAGACGUUGUGCGAUGUGGAGCGACGUGGUGCAACGUGGUUCGAUGUGGUGUGGCUUGGUGCGACGUCGUGCUACGGCCAUGCCCUGCCAUGUCCUGCGACGCACUGACACGUCCUGACACAUCAUGCGUCGUUCCAUUGCCACCCCUACCAUGUCCUGCGACGUCCUAACUUUUGCUAUGGCCACGCCCUACCAUGUCCUACGACGUCCUGACUCAUCUUGCGUCGUGCCAUAGCCACACCCUUCCAUGUCCUGCGGCGUCCUGACACGUGCCAUGGCCAUGCCUUGCCAUGCCCUGCGACAUCAUGACACGUCCUGACCAGUGCCAUGGCCACGCCCUGGCAUGUCCUGCGAUGUCCUGACACGUCCUGACCCAUGCCAGGUCCAUGUCCUGCGACGUCCUGACUCGUGCCAUGGCCAUGCCCUGCCAUGUCCUGCGACGUCCUAACACGUCCUAUCCUGUGACAUGGCCAUGUCAUGUGAUGUCCUGACACGUCCUGACUCGUGCCAUGGACAUGUCCUGCGUCGUCCUGACACCUGCCAUGCCAUAUCCUGCAACGUCCUAACACGUGCCAUGGCCAUAUCCUGCGACGUCCUGACACGUGCUCUGGCCAUAUCCUGCGAAGUCCAGACACAUAAUGACAUGUGCCAUGGCCAUGUCCUGCGAAGUACUGACACAUCCUGAACCGUUCCAUGAACAUGUCCUGCGACGUCCUGACACGUGCCAUGGACAUGUCCUACAAUGUCUUGACACGUCCAGACAUAUGCCAUGGCUAUGCCCUGCCAUGUCCUGCAACAUCCUGACGCAUGACAUGGACAUGCCCUGCCAUGUCCUGCGACGUCCUAACACGUCCUGACUUGUGUCAUGGCCAUGUCCUGCGAUGUCCUGACACAUCUUAACACGUGCAAUGGCCAUGCCCUACCAUGUCCUGUGAUGUCCUGACACAUCCUGACCCGUGCCAUGGCCACAUCCUGCCAUGUCUUGUGACAUCCUAACACGUCAUGACACGUGCCAUUGCCACACGCUACCAUUUCCUGACACUUCCUGACUCGUGCCAUGGCCAUGUCCACCAUGUCCUGCAACGUCUUGACAUGUCCUGACCCGUGUCAUGGCUAUAUCCUGUGACGUCCUGAAACGUCCUGACACGUGCCAUGGCCAUGUCCUAUGAUGUCCUGACACGUGUCAUGGAUUUGCCCUGCCAUGUCAUGCGACGUCCUGACAUGUGCCAUGGCCAUGCCCUACCAAGUCCUAUGACAUCUUGACACGUCCUGACCCGUGACAUGGCCACGCCCUUCCAUGUCCUGCGACAUCCUGACAUGUCCUGACCUGUGCCAUGGCCUCUCCCUGCCAUGUCCCACAGCAUCCUAACACGUCCUAACUUAUGCCAUGGCCACGCCUUGCCAUGUCCUGCGACGUUCUGACAUGUCCUGCGACAUUCUGACACGUCCUGACUCAUGUCAUGGCCACGCCUUGCCAUGUUCGGUGACGUCCUGACUCGUGCCAUGGCCACACACUGCCAUAUCCUGCAACAUCCUGUCACGUCCUGACCCGUGCCAUGGCCACGCCCUGCCAUGUCAUGCGACGUCCUGACUCAUCCUGACAUGUGCCAUGGCCAUGGCCUGCGACGUCCUGACACGUCUUGACCCGUGCCAUGGCCAUGUCCUGCGAUGUCUUGACACGUCCUAACUCGUGCCAUGGUUACGCCCUGCGACGUCCUGACCUUUGCUAUGGCCACACCCUACCAUGUCCUGCGACGUCCUGCCAUGUCCUAUGUCGUGCCAUGGCCUUGGCCUCUCAAGUGACACCCCAAAAAACCGCUACUUGCGACGUAGCAUUGGCAAAUCUUUCUUGGCUUGUGCCUUGGCCUCGCACUGCGACGCCUCAAAAAACCUCUACUUGACAACUUGUAUUAGCACAUCAUCCUUGGCAUAGGCCUCGGCCUCGUAAGCGACACACCGAAUAACCUCUACUUGCGGCAUUGUAUUGGCACAUCGCCCUUGGCAUAGGCCUCGGCCUCGCAACCGAUACACCGAAAAACCUCUAGUAGUGAAAAUUGGUUAGGUAUUUCCCGCGACAUGACUAAGUGUCAAGUCACAUUGGCCACUUAAUACACAAAUAGUAUACGUUCCAAGGUCUUGACGACUUUUUCGAUUUUCCAACACUAAGUAUUAUAUAACAUCAAGGGAGGAGUAAACCUCUUCUUGGAAAAGUUAGAAAAUGAUUGGAUUGGAGGGAGAGGGAUGACGAAUUAUAGCGACAAAGGGAUGAAUCUUAGUGGAUUGUGGUAGCAAGGCUACUCUGCCACUUACAAUACCUCGUCGCGUAUUUAGGUCAUCUGUAAAGGAUUCUACCCGCCACUCGAUGGAAAUUAUACUUCAAGGCGGCCACCGCGGCUUUUCCGCCGCGAUGACCUAGACAACAAUAUAUGCCCUUGGGGGACAAAGGCCCCUACUACGGGUCGACAAGAGGACGGCGAGCGCAUGAGUCUCUUCUAGCCCGGAUUCUAACUUAGAGGCGUUCAGUCAUAAUCCAGUGCAUGGUAGCUUCACGCCACUAGCUUUUUAACCAAGCGCAAUGACCAAUUGUAUCAAUUGUUCCUCUCAUACUAGGUUGAAUUACUAUUGUGAUACUGUCAUCAGUAGGGUAAAACUAACCUGUCUCACGACGAUCUAAACCCAGCUCACGUUCCCUAUUGGUGGGUGAACAAUCCAAUACUUGGUGAAUUUUGCUUCACAAUGAUAGGAAGAGCUGACAUCGAAGGAUCAAAAAGCAACGUCGCUAUAAACACUUGGCUGCCACAAGCUAGUUAUCCAUGUGGUAACUUUUUUGACACCUCUAGCUUCGAAUUUCAGAGGUCCAAAAGAUCGUUAGUCCACGCUUUCACGAUUCGUAUUCGUAUUGGAAAUUAGAAUCAAACGAGCUUUUACCCUUCUGUUCCACACGAGCUUUCUGUUCUCGUUGAGCUCAUCUUAUGACACCUGCGUUGCCUUUUAAUAGAUGUGCCGCCCUAGCCAAACUCCCCAACUAACAAUGUCUUCAGCCCGAAUCGGCCUGCAAGCAAGCCUUGGGUCCAAAAAAAGGGGCAGUGCCCCGCUUCCAAUUCACGGAAUAAGUAAAAUAACGUUAAAAGUAGUGGUAUUCCACUUUUACCUUUCCGCUCCCACUUAUACUACAACUCUCAAGUCAUUUCACAAAGUCGGACUAGAGUCAAGAUCAAUAGUGUCUUCUUUCCCCGCUGAUUCUGCCAAACCCAUUCCCUUGGCUAUGGUUUCGCUAGAUAGUAGACAAAGAUAGUGGGAAUCUUGUUAAUCCAUUCAUGCGCGUCACUAAUUAGAUGAUGAGGAAUUUGGCUACCUUAAGAGAGUCAUAGUUACUCCCGCCAUUUACCCGUACUUAGUUGAAUUUCGUCACUUUGAUAUUCAGAGCACUAGACAGAAAUCACAUUACAUAAACAUCCGUAGGGACCAUCGCAAUGCUUUGUUUUAAUUAAACAGUCGGAUUCCCCUUGUCCGUACUAGUUUUGAGUUGGCUGUUUAACGUCCGGGAAAGGCCCCCGAAUGAACCGGUCCCAGUUCGUCCCCCAGCCGGCACGCGGCGACCCACUUUCGCCGCGGGAGCAGCUCAAGUAGUCCACCGACAGCUGACGGGUGCGGGACUAGGACCCACAUGCCAAGCCCUUAGAGCCAAUCCUUUUCCCAAAGUUACAGAUCCAUUUUUCCGACUUCCCUUGCCUACAUUGUUCCAUCGACUAGAGGUUGUUCACCUCGGAAACCUGAUGCGGUUAUGAGUACGAUCGAGCAUGGACGACACUCGGUCCUUCAGAUUUUCAAGGGCCGUCGGGGGCGCACCGGACACCACUGGAUGUGCGGUCAUCUUCCAGCCGCUGGACCCUACCUCCAACUGAGUUAUUUCCAGGGUGGGCAUGCUAUUAAACAAAAAAGAUAACUCUUCUUUAGGACCCCGCCGACAAAUCCGGACUUUCUAACGUUGCCGUCAACCGCCAUGUCCCUAAUUCCCUUUAAGAGUACGCGUGAAACGCGCUAUAUAUCAGGGUUUCCCCAACCCUUAAGAUCGACUAACCCAAGUGCAAGUGCCGUUCACAUAGAACCUUUCCCCUAUUCGGCUUUCAAAGUUCUCAUUUGAAUAUUUGCUACUACCACCAAGAUCUGCACUGACAGCCGCUCCACCCAGGCUCACGCCCAAGGUUUUGAAGAGAUCGUCGCUCCAUCCGACUCAUCGGGGCCUAGCACUUGCCUGACAGCCGGGUGUAGGUCGCGUGAUUAAGAGCCAUCCAUUUUCGGGGCUAGUUGAUUUGGCAAGUAAGUUGAUACAUAGUCCUUAGCGGAUUUCGACUUCCAUGACCACUGUCCUGCUGUCUUAAUCGACCAACACCCUUUUGUGGGAUCUAGGUUAGUGCGCAUUUUAUCACUGUAACCCUGCUUCCGAUUCAUCCCACAUCGCCAGUUCUACUUACAAAAUAUUGCCCACUUCGAGCUCUUGAUUCCGUGGCGUAGCUCAAUAAAGCAAUUGCGCCAUCCUACUUAUUUAAAGUUUUAGAAUAGGUCGAGGGCAUUGCACCCCCGAUGCCUCAAAUCAUUAGCUUUACCCGAUAGAACUCGCACGCGAGCUCCAGCUAUCCUGAGGGAAACUGAACCUGCUACUAGACAGUUCGAUUAGUCUUUUGCCCCUAUACCUAAGUUAGACGGACGAUUUUCACAUUAGUAUCGCUACGGGCCUCCACCAGAGUUUCCUAUGGCUUCGCCCCGCUCAGGCAUAGUUCACGAUCUUUCGGGUCACGACAGGUAUGGUAACACUCAAACCCUUCACAGAAGAUCAAGGUCGAUCAGCGGUGCACCCCUCAGGGGGAUCCCACCAAUCAGAUUCCUUAUGCCUUGUGGGUUUACUCACCCAUUGACUCACACACAUGUUAGACUCCUUUGUCCGUGUUUCAAGAUGGGUCGAAUAGGGAGCCCACAGACCAGCGUCCGGAGCAUGCAUAUGACGAAGCAUGAUAGAGGUGCAUGUUGCCUUCCACAAUCAAGGAGAUGACGUUCCACGAGCAUAUCAAAAGCCCGGGCUUUGGCCGCCCCUAAUCAACGUUGAUUCACUCCCCGAGUUGAUCGGCACACCGGCAUAACAUCGUUCCACAUCCGACCGAGGCACAUCACUGGCCCCAAUCCACUUCCCUCCCAACAAUUUCAAUCACUCUUUGAGUCUCUUUUCAAAGUCCUUUUCAUCUUUCCCUCGCGGUACUUGUUCGCUAUCGGUCUCUCGCCCGUAUUUAGCCUGGGACGGAAUUAACCACCCAAUUUGGGCUGCAUUCUCAAACAACCCGACUCAUAGACAACGCCUCGUAGUGCGACAGGGUCCUAGCACAAUAGGGCUCUCACCCUCUUUAGUGUCCCCUUCCAGGGGACUUGGGCCCGGUCCGCUGCUGAGGAUGUUUCUCCAGACUAUAAUUCGGACGAUGGAGCCGCCCGAUUCUAAGGUUGUGCUAUUCCCUAUUCGCUCGCCGUUACUAGGGAAUCCUUAUAAGUUUCUUUUCCUCCGCUAGUUGAUAUGCUUAAAUUCAUCGAGUAGUCCCGCCUGACCCAGGGUCAAGGUUGGAGUGCCUAAGUGCUAUAAGGGUCGGGGAGCCCAAACAUGCGACGGGUUGGAGCAGCGACAUUACGAGAGUUGAGUUUCAACCACCACUUAUCGUGACGUCCAUCGCCGUGGACUCGCAUUUAAGCCAACCGCAUGCUCGAGGUGCACAGGAGGCCGACCCACGACACUACCACGACCAUGAGAAUGGGAGCAAUGUAUGGGGGCGAUGUGAUGCAUGAUGCCCAGGCAGACGUGCCCUUGACCUAAUGGCUUCGGGCGCAACUUGUGUUCAAAGAUUCGAUGGUUCAUGGGAUUCUACAAAUCACACCAAGUAUCGUAUUUCGCUAUAUUUUUCAUCGAUGCAAGAGCCGAGAUAUCUGUUGUCGAGAGUCGUUUGUGUUUCAAAAUAAGCACAAGUCCCCCCGCACGCGCCACGAAUGGUGUGCGAGAGGCAUGCUUUCAAUUUAGUAUUCCCUGGCGCUUUUCGCGCCGAGGUUUGUUAAUUACCCAACACGCACGCGAGCGUGCAUGCUGGGGAUAGGAGAGAGCUGCACGGACGAAGAUCGAAGCACCCCGGCCAUACCGCUCCCCAGUGUUUAAACAAGUUUGUGGGUCGUUCUGCGGUAGGUUUCGACAAUGAUCCUUCCACAGGUUCACCUACGGAAACCUUGUUACAACUUCUCCUUCCUCUAAAUGAUAAGGUUCAAUGGACUUCUCAUGACGUCGCGGGAAGCGAACCGCCCACGUUGUUGUGAUCUGAACAUUUCACUGGAUCAUUUAAUCGGUAGGAGCGACGGGUGAUGUGUACAAAGGGUAGGGACGUAGUCAACGCGAGCUGAUGACUCACACAUACUAGGAAUUCCUCGUUGAAGACCAACAAUUACAAUGAUCUAUCCCCAUCACGAUGAAAUUUCAAAGAUUAGUCGGGCCUGUCAGCCAAGGCUAUAAACUCGUUGAAUACAUCAGUGUAGCGCGCGUGCGGCCAAGAACAUCUAAGGGAAUCACAGACCUAUUAUUGCCUCAAACUUCCGCGACCUAAAUGACUGUAGUCCCUCUAAGAAGCUGGUUACGAAGGGAUACCUCCGCAUAGCUAGUUAGCAGGCUGAGGUCUCAUUCGUUAACAAAAUUAACCAGAGAAAUCGUUUUACUAACUAAGAACAGCCAAUGCACCACCAACCAUAGAAUCAAGAAAGAGCUCUCAGUCUAUCAAUCCUUACUAUGUCUGGACCUGGUAUGUUUCCCCGUGUUGAGUCAAAUUAAGCCGCAGGCUCCACUUUUGGUGUUGCCUUUUGGUCAAUUCCUUUAAGUUUCAGUCUUGCGACCAUACUUCCCCCAGAGCCCAAAAACUUUGAUUUUUGAUAAGGUGCCGGCGGAGACCUUAAAGUAACAUCCGCCGAUCCCUGGUCGGCAUCGUUUAUGGUUGAGACUAGGAUGGUAUCUGAUCGUCCUCGAGCCCCCAACUUUCUUUCGUGAUUAAGGAAAACAUCCCUGGAAAAUGCUUUCGCAGUUGUUCAUCUUUCAUAAAUCCAAGAAUUUCACCUCUGACUAAUAAAUACGAAUGCCCCCGAUUGUCCCUAUUAAUUAUUACUCUGAUCCCGAAGGCCAAUGUAAUAUGAUCGAAAUCCUAUAAUGUUAUCCCAUAAUAAUGUAUACAGAGCGUAGGCUUGCUUUGAGCACUCUAAUUUCUUCAAAGUAACAGCACCGGAGGCAUGACACAGCUAAUUAAGGACAGGAGUGCAUCGCCCGCCGAAGGGAUGAGACAACCGGUGCACACCUAAGGCGGACCAGCCGGCCCAUCCCAAAAUCCAACUACGAGUUUUUUAACUGCAACAACUUAAAUAUACGCUAUUGGAGCUGGAAUUAGCGCGGCUGUUUGCACCAGACUUGCCCUCCAAUAGAUCCUCGUUAAGGGAUUUAGAUUGUACUCAUUCAUAUUACUAGACCCAUAGAGCCCGGUAUUGUUAUUUAUUGUCACUACCUCCCCAUGCCAGUAUUGGGUAAUUUGCGUGCCUGCUGCCUUCCUUGGAUGUGGUAGCCAUUUCUCAGGCUCCCUCUCCGGAAUCGAACACUAAUUCUCCGUCACCC